ACGAACGCUGGCGGCAUGCCUAACACAUGCAAGUCGCACGAGGCCUUCGGGUCUAGUGGCGCACGGGUGCGUAACGCGUGGGAACCUGCCCUUAGGUUCGGAAUAACUCCCCGAAAGGGGUGCUAAUACCGGAUAAUGUCUUCGGACCAAAGAUUUAUCGCCUUUGGAUGGGCCCGCGUUGGAUUAGCUAGUUGGUAGGGUAAAAGCCUACCAAGGCGACGAUCCAUAGCUGGUCUGAGAGGAUGAUCAGCCACACUGGGACUGAGACACGGCCCAGACUCCUACGGGAGGCAGCAGUGGGGAAUAUUGGACAAUGGGCGAAAGCCUGAUCCAGCAAUGCCGCGUGAGUGAUGAAGGCCUUAGGGUUGUAAAGCUCUUUUACCCGGGAUGAUAAUGACAGUACCGGGAGAAUAAGCUCCGGCUAACUCCG
Molecule: ribosomal RNA, 430 nt
Filed under: uncultured bacterium
Lineage: Bacteria
Description: partial 16S ribosomal RNA
Rfam family: Bacterial small subunit ribosomal RNA
Source: RNAcentral